Acanthosepion pharaonis is the source of this 113-nucleotide non-coding RNA. The record is from the annotation of a GenBank genome assembly. Lineage: Eukaryota; Metazoa; Mollusca; Cephalopoda; Sepiida; Sepiidae.
UACGGCCAUAUCACAUCGAAAUGCCAGUUCCCGUACGAUCAGCACAGUUAAGCAAUGUCGAGCUUGGUCAGUACCUAGAUAGGUGACUGCUUGUGAAUACCAGGUGCUGUAAG